UGGGGAAUAUUGCACAAUGGGCGAAAGCCUGAUGCAGCAACGCCGCGUGAGUGAUGAAGGUCUUCGGAUUGUAAAGCUCUGUCUUUUGGGACGAUAAUGACGGUACCAAAGGAGGAAGCCACGGCUAACUACGUGCCAGCAGCCGCGGUAAUACGUAGGUGGCGAGCGUUGUCCGGAUUUACUGGGCGUAAAGGGUGCGUAGGCGGAUGUUUAAGUGGGAUGUGAAAUACCCGGGCUUAACUUGGGUGCUGCAUUUCAAACUGGAUAUCUAGAGUGCAGGAGAGGAGAAUGGAAUUCCUAGUGUAGCGGUGAAAUGCGUAGAGAUUAGGAAGAACACCAGUGGCGAAGGCGAUUCUCUGGACUGUAACUGACGCUGAGGCACGAAAGCGUGGGUAGCAAACAGGAUUAGAUACCCUGGUAGUCCACGCCGUAAACGAUGAGUACUAGGUGUAGGAGGUAUCGACCCCUUCUGUGCCGCAGUAAACACAUUAAGUACUCCGCCUGGGAAGUACGAUCGCAAGAUUAAAACUCUAAAGUGAA
RNAcentral lists this ribosomal RNA (540 nucleotides) under uncultured bacterium. Its description in RNAcentral is "partial 16S ribosomal RNA". It matches the Rfam family "Bacterial small subunit ribosomal RNA", at positions 355 to 911 of the family's 1533-position model. The record is from RNAcentral.